Molecule: long non-coding RNA, 2192 nt
Filed under: Daphnia magna
Lineage: Eukaryota; Metazoa; Arthropoda; Branchiopoda; Diplostraca; Daphniidae
Description: uncharacterized LOC123471581
Source: RNAcentral
UAUUUGCUAUUAAAUAAAAAUCAUCAUUAAGAAUUGCAUGAGUUAAAAACAAGAGAAUCUUAAAACUAGAGUUGUUGAAAGACGUUACUAGAUGGCAGUUCUUUUUUAAAUAUCUUCCCACUAGAUGGUGUUCUACAUGUAAACAAUUAAAAAAAAUAAAUACUUUAGUGAAAAAACGAAGGAAAUGAAAACAAAGACACGAAACAAUUGUGAAAGCAGCCGGAAAAGCCGCAAGCGGCCCACUUAUUAUUAAGACCGGAGGACAAACCUUCUAUUCUUCCCUCUCCAUUCGGCUUGAAACCAGGUCUGAAUAGAGUGCUACCAUUUAAAACACGAGUUUCCUGCUGCUACGAUUUCCCUUCACAUAGAAAACAAUUUUCCAACAGAAUGUUGAUGUUAACCAAUUGGAGGAGAACAAAAUAGAAAGUUUAAAAGUCUUUACAACCUCCUGGUGGAGAAAGCUACUCUCCAUGUGGUAUUUCAUCCGCGAAAAUAAGGGGAAAAAAGAAAGGGGAGAACGGAUUUGCCACAUUGAAACGGAGAGACCAGGCCAGUCAAAACGGGGAAAGGAGGGCGUCUCAUUUAUUGCAUUGACCCUUUUCCCGAAUUCCACGAGAUAAAUCGACAUUCUUUUCAAACCACAAAUAAAACAGGUUGAUCUGGCUCUUCGUGACUACAAUAUAGGAAAAUGACGAAACUGAGAAGACAACGAAGUGGGGAUGGCCUCAAAGGACAAAUUUAGUGAACGACUGGCCUUGAUUUCAUAGGGCGCGUGAAUCUCAAGGACUGCAAGGAUCGAUAAUUUAAACAUUGACGUCCUUGGGAUUUUGACCAUGACAUAUCCCUGUCGUAGACGAACGAAAAAAGAACUUGCAAGUUGUUGCCAAAAACAUUUGGCACGACACCAUCUCCUUAAUGUUUACUUGUACGGUUUUCUUUUUGCAAAGGUUUCAAGGCCUUUUAAAGAUAAAAAGAAACCCACGAGCUGUUUACGCCCAUCUUCUUCUAGUUCCACCGAAAAGUCAACGACCACUGAAAAAGCCAAGACUCCCCCUCGAGGCUUUCGUGGUGCAAAAAAGAUCAUCCUGAGUGCAAAGUAAUAUGAUAACUUGUUUUGGCCAGCAACAGAGAUCAACUACACCAAAAUUCCCUUUUGAUUGGACAUCUCGAUAUAAGCCCCACCAGUUUAAAGGUUACAUGUAUUGAGGCCAAUAGCAAGAAAGACUAAAACAUUAGGUUGUAGUGAUCUCUUUAAAGAUUAAACUUACCAAAAGAAAUCAGCCUUUUAUCACUUGCUUGUAAAAAGUUGUUCUUCGAUAGCAGCUAAAUAAACACUACCAGAAUGCAGUAGUAUCCAGGCGAAACUAUUCACUUUUCAAUAAGCACAGCGACAAUUCUUUGGAGAUGAUCGCUUUUGCCCUAAAAUAGCCUCUGCUGCUGGACACGGACUGAUGAUCGUAUUGAUGAUGGAUAACACAAACCCACAUGUGAAUCUAUGUCUCACAGCUGUCAGUUGAACAACUUUUUUAGAAACAACACAACGACCCUACUUUACACUAGCACUCAACAUACAAAAGACUGGUAUACAACUACUUCUGAAGACGCCCAAUACCAGACGGGAGAUUCGCUGAGUAGAGCUGCGUGAUUAGUAUGACAGAAACCCAAUGGGGGUAAAAACACGCAGAGCCGAGACGGAACUGAAAAUGAAUCAACCUCUAAGCUACAGCGUCACCUCGGCAACUGCGCAGUCUCUAACGAAUGGCCAAAGAUAGCAGACGAAACAUAAAAAAUGACAAAAUACUGUUGACACAAUCGAUGGAAUGCCGGGAAGAAAAAACAGGAUUUGUAUUUCUUAACCCAACAAUUUACAGAACUCUGCAGAUAUCCGUAAACGGAACUUGAGUCGCACAAAGAAAACUUUUUCCUAGUCUUCCAGGAAAAAGUAAUUGCCCGAUCUCUUCUGCUCCACGUCCUAUAAAAUUUUCAAAAAGGAGAAAAAAACAUUUUGAAUUUAAGGUUGGUUAUUAAAAGAUACUGAAAACAAACCUUGACGGAGUUCUCUUUAUUAAUUCGUGGCCGGUAGUUGUUGGGAUCUCGGCGGAAAGUAAUGGCCAAGAGCUCAAGAAAGCGGUUCAUGCCAGGCAAAAGGGCUUGAGGAGCGUUGGCUACCGACUCGAUCGAAGGUUGGCCUU